GCAGGGUCGGGCCUGGUUAGUACUUGGAUGGGAGACCGCCUGGGAAUACCAGGUGCUGUAAGCGUUUUC
RNAcentral lists this ribosomal RNA (69 nucleotides) under Hime japonica. The record is from RNAcentral. Lineage: Eukaryota; Metazoa; Chordata; Actinopteri; Aulopiformes; Aulopidae.